Molecule: long non-coding RNA, 690 nt
Filed under: Calidris pugnax (ruff)
Lineage: Eukaryota; Metazoa; Chordata; Aves; Charadriiformes; Scolopacidae
Description: lncRNA (ENSCPUG00000006374.1)
Source: RNAcentral
CCUCUGAUAGCUGCAGGGGAAAAUAUUUAAAUUUAUCAUAGGUUUUAUGCUGAUAAAUUGUGGUUCCUUUGCACAGGGUCCUCCCUCUUUAAUGCCUAUUCAUAUUUUCUGAUGAAAAACAUGAAUGGAGUUUGACUUGAAUCAAGACAGGAAAUUCUUCAAUAAAGUAAAAUAAUGGCCAGGGUCGCUUGGUACCAGCUGGAAGGUGGGACAGGAGUGAGGUCCUGAACAUUUUUCACCUUCUCCAAUGCUGAUGACCCGUGUUUCAAGUGGACCUGACUGGGCAUGGAGAUUGUUCCGUUUCCUUUUUGCUUGUGCAGAGCAGUUGGUUCAUAGCUUCUUUGCAAGAAGACUCACAUUUGCUUUCAGUCCCCCACCAGUCUCUGACCCGCUUCUGUUUGGCUGCCAUUUGGUAAUUGCCUUGCCUCUGCUACUGCUCGUGUCCUGAGACCAUAUCACUGAUCGACUGUAAAGUGAGUAUGUUCACCUACAGAAAAUACCAUGUGCCACUCUGUUGUACAGCGCAGAAGGACAACAGACUUCUGGUAACUUUUCCACUUCUCAAGACCCUUUUUAAAAAAGGUAACUGAAAAUCAGGCCCUAAUGUGCCUAUCUUAUAUGUGUGACCUGGUUUAUGAAGGCACUGGGCAUCCAAAGUUGUGUAUUAGCAUCAACUGAAGGAAUAAAAAC